RNAcentral lists this ribosomal RNA (460 nucleotides) under uncultured bacterium. RNAcentral's name for it is "partial 16S ribosomal RNA". It matches the Rfam family "Bacterial small subunit ribosomal RNA", at positions 338 to 795 of the family's 1533-position model. The record is from RNAcentral.
CCUACGGGUGGCAGCAGUGAGGAAUAUUGGUCAAUGGACGAGAGUCUGAACCAGCCAAGUCGCGUGAAGGAUGACUGCCCUAUGGGUUGUAAACUUCUUUUAUAUGGGAAUAAAACAGGGUAUGCAUACCCUCUUGUAUGUACCAUAUGAAUAAGGAUCGGCUAACUCCGUGCCAGCAGCCGCGGUAAUACGGAGGAUCCGAGCGUUAGCCGGAUUUGUUGGGUUUUAAGGGAGCGUAGGUGGAUUGUUAAGUCAGUUGUGAAAGUUUGCGGCUAAACCGUAAAAGUGCAGUUGAAACUGGGAGUCUUGCGUACAGUAGAGGGGGGUGGAAUUCGUGGUGUAGCGGUGAAAUGCUGAGAUAUCACGAAGAACUCCGAUGGCGAAGGCAGCUCACUGGACUGCAACUGACACUGAUGCUCGAAAGUGUGGGUAUCAAACAGGAUUAGAUACCCGGGUAGUC